This 73-nucleotide transfer RNA is filed under the name Microbotryum lychnidis-dioicae p1A1 Lamole. RNAcentral describes it as "tRNA-Arg (CCG) (tRNA-Arg-CCG-1-1)". It matches the Rfam family "tRNA". From Rfam's summary of the family: Transfer RNA (tRNA) molecules are approximately 80 nucleotides in length. Lineage: Eukaryota; Fungi; Basidiomycota; Microbotryomycetes; Microbotryales; Microbotryaceae. The record is from RNAcentral.
GGCCCUUUGGGGAAGUGGUUAACCCACCUCCCUCCGGAGGAGGAUAUCGUCGGUUCAAUCCCGGCAAGGGUCG